GACGAACGCUGGCGGCGUGCCUAAUACAUGUAAGUAGAACGCUGAAGCGAGGAGCUUGCUCUUCUUGGAUGAGUUGCGAACGGGUGAGUAACGCGUAGGUAACCUGCCUUGUAGCGGGGGAUAACUAUUGGAAACGAUAGCUAAUACCGCAUAACAAUGGAUGAAACAUGUCAUUUAUUUGAAAGGGGCAAUUGCUCCACUACAAGAUGGACCUGCGUUGUAUUAGCUAGUAGGUGAGGUAAUGGCUCACCUAGGCGACGAUACAUAGCCGACCUGAGAGGGUGAUCGGCCACACUGGGACUGAGACACGGCCCAGACUCCUACGGGAGGCAGCAGUAGGGAAUCCUCGGCAAUGGGGGCAACCCUGACCGAGCAACGCCGCGUGAGUGAAGAAGGUUUUCGGAUCGUAAAGCUCUGUUGUAAGUCAAGAACGGGUGUGAGAGUGGAAAGUUCACACUGUGACGGUAGCUUACCAGAAAGAGACGGCUAACUACGUG
This 497-nucleotide ribosomal RNA is filed under the name uncultured bacterium. Its description in RNAcentral is "partial 16S ribosomal RNA". It matches the Rfam family "Bacterial small subunit ribosomal RNA", at positions 28 to 507 of the family's 1533-position model. The record is from RNAcentral.